Molecule: ribosomal RNA, 462 nt
Filed under: uncultured bacterium
Lineage: Bacteria
Description: partial 16S ribosomal RNA
Rfam family: Bacterial small subunit ribosomal RNA
Source: RNAcentral
GACGAACGCUGGCGGCGUGCUUAACACAUGCAAGUCGAACGGCAAGGCCCUUCGGGGUACUCCAGUGGCGAACGGGGGAGUGACACGGGGGUGAUCAGCCCUGCACUUUGUGAUAAGCCUGGGAAACUGGGUCUAAUACCGAAUAGGAACACGAGCUGCCUGGCGUGUGGUGGAAAGCUAUUGCGGGGUGUGCUGGGCGCGCGGCCUACGAUCUUGGUGGUGGAGGAAUGGCCGACCAAGGCGACGGAGGGUAGCCGGCCUGAGAGGGUGACCGGCCACACGGCGACUGAGAUACGGCCCAGACUCCUACGGGAGGCAGCGGUGGGGAAUAUUGCACAAUGGGAACGAGCCUGAUGCAGCGACGCCGCGUGAGUGAUGACGGCCUUCGGGUUGUAAACCGCUUUCGCCUGAGACGAGGCGUAAGUGACGGUACCUGGAGAAGAAGCACCGGCUAACUACGUG